Folsomia candida is the source of this 462-nucleotide long non-coding RNA. RefSeq lists it as uncharacterized. The record is from RefSeq and is a predicted model, not a curated record. The transcript is spliced from 3 exons. Lineage: Eukaryota; Metazoa; Arthropoda; Collembola; Entomobryomorpha; Isotomidae.
ACAAAUAAUAAAAAAACAAGGUCAGACUCAACCCUCGGCGGUGCGGAGCUUACUUUUAUGCUCAACGAACAUCAAACGGUUUAAAGAAAAAAUCCGGAAUACGGUGACGCAUGAUACUUAUUACUAUUAAUAUUACUGCAAGUGUGUGAGUUUUAAUCUAGAAAUGUUCAGAAACUUGCUGAUUUUCUAAUUCCCCACCGAGUACACGAAACAAAUCUAUGGCUUGGAACUUAAACAAAUCCUCCCCUCAUCAUCAUCACCAUUGUUCCUGGCUAAUUGUACAAGACUAUUAAACAAAUAUUUGGACAAUUCUGUGGUUAUAAAAUAUUUACCAAGAAGAACCUCCCUACCCCGUAGAAAAAGACCAAGGUAUUUACAAACCUCUAAGCUUGUAAACUCUAAACUGGAGCAGCAGACUAAGAAAAUACACCUUAAAGCUACAGCUAAGUUUUACAUAUUUAG